GACGAACGCUGGCGGCGUGCUUAACACAUGCAAGUCGAACGGAAAGGCCCUGCUUGUGUGGGGUGCUCGCGUGGCGAACGGGUGAGUAACACGUGAGUAACCUGCCCUUGACUUUGGGAUAACUUCAGGAAACUGGGGCUAAUACCGGAUAGGAGCUCCUGCUGCAUGGUGGGGGUUGGACAGUUUCGGCGGUUGGGGAUGGACUCGCGGCUUAUCAGCUUGUUGGGGGGGUAGUGGCCUACCAGGGCUUUGACGGGUAGCCGGCCUGGGAGGGUGACCGGCCCCAUUCGCAUUGGGGUGCGGCCCAUGCGCCAUCGUGGGGCAGCGGUGGGGACUAUUGCACACUGGGCGGCAGCCUGGUGCAGCAUCGCCGCGUGCUGGAUGACGGCCUGCGGGGUGUAAACGGCUUUCGCCUGUGACGAGGCGUGUGUGCCUUUACUGGGUAAUGAGGCACCGGCUACCUCCUU
Molecule: ribosomal RNA, 467 nt
Filed under: uncultured bacterium
Lineage: Bacteria
Description: partial 16S ribosomal RNA
Rfam family: Bacterial small subunit ribosomal RNA
Source: RNAcentral